CAGCAGCCGCGGUAAUACCAGCCCCGCGAGUGGUCGGGACUUUUAUUGGGCCUAAAGCGUCCGUAGCCGGCCCGGCAAGUCCCCCCUUAAAGCCCACGGCUCAACCGUGGGAGCGGGGGGAUACUGCCGGGCUAGGGGGCGGGAGAGGCCGGGGGUACUCCCGGGGUAGGGGCGAAAUCCGUUAAUCCCGGGAGGACCGCCAGUGGCGAAGGCGCCCGGCUGGAACGCGCCCGACGGUGAGGGACGAAAGCUGGGGGAGCAAAGGGGAUUAGAUACCCCCGUAGUCCCAGCUGUAAACGAUGCGGGCUAGGUGUGGGGCGGGCUUCGAGCCCGCCCAGUGCCGGAGGGAAGCCGUUAAGCCCGCCGCCUGGGGAGUACGGCCGCAAGGCUGAAACUUAAAGGAAUUGGCGGG
This 412-nucleotide ribosomal RNA is filed under the name uncultured microorganism. RNAcentral describes it as "bacterial SSU rRNA". It matches the Rfam family "Archaeal small subunit ribosomal RNA", at positions 459 to 872 of the family's 1478-position model. The record is from RNAcentral.